RNAcentral lists this transfer RNA (96 nucleotides) under Rhizoctonia solani. Its description in RNAcentral is "tRNA-Thr". It matches the Rfam family "tRNA". From Rfam's summary of the family: Transfer RNA (tRNA) molecules are approximately 80 nucleotides in length. Their secondary structure includes four short double-helical elements and three loops (D, anti-codon, and T loops). Lineage: Eukaryota; Fungi; Basidiomycota; Agaricomycetes; Cantharellales; Ceratobasidiaceae. The record is from RNAcentral.
GCCCUUAUAGCUCAGUGGUAGAGCGCAUCACUCGUAAAUUGCUUACGUAAGCGAUUUGAAAUGAUGAGGUCCAUUGUUCAAUCCAGUGUGGGGGCA